GUGCUGGAGCAGCCCCGCUGGAAGCGAUGCAGCAUCCAGGAAGACGGAGGAAGGGGCGGAGAGGGACCUCUGCUUUCCAGGCUGCCUUUUAUACUGCCUCUGGUCACCUGACGUGGAACGUACCCUAACCUAAUCAGUUACAUGAGGCGCUUGGAAACCACCGUGAAUUGGACCGCACUGGGAAACACAGAUGAAGAAAGUCAACACCGCUUUGUCCUUCAGUGCCUGGCUCCUUUUUCAGCUCGUCUUGCAACUCCAGGCAUUGGAGUCCAGGGAGGGGCACGCCGCCUUUACCCUGUGCUUCCCACGAUC
This 312-nucleotide non-coding RNA is filed under the name Pan troglodytes (chimpanzee). The record is from RNAcentral. Lineage: Eukaryota; Metazoa; Chordata; Mammalia; Primates; Hominidae.